RNAcentral lists this ribosomal RNA (497 nucleotides) under uncultured bacterium. Its description in RNAcentral is "partial 16S ribosomal RNA". It matches the Rfam family "Bacterial small subunit ribosomal RNA", at positions 28 to 507 of the family's 1533-position model. The record is from RNAcentral.
GAUGAACGCUGGCGGCGUGCCUAAUACAUGCAAGUCGAGCGAACAGACGAGGAGCUUGCUCCUCUGACGUUAGCGGCGGACGGGUGAGUAACACGUGGAUAACCUACCUAUAAGACUGGGAUAACUUCGGGAAACCGGAGCUAAUACCGGAUAAUAUAUUGAACCGCAUGGUUCAAUAGUGAAAGACGGUUUUGCUGUCACUUAUAGAUGGAUCCGCGCCGCAUUAGCUAAUUGGUAAGGUAACGGCUUACCAAGGCAACGAUGCGUAGCCGACCUGAGAGGGUGAUCGGCCACACUGGAACUGAGACACGGUCCAGACUCCUAAGGGAGGCAGCAGUAGGGAAUCUUCCGCAAUGGGCGAAAGCCUGACGGAGCAACGCCGCGUGAGUGAUGAAGGUCUUCGGAUCGUAAAACUCUGUUAUUAGGGAAGAACAAAUGUGUAAGUAACUAUGCACGUCUUGACGGUACCUAAUCAGAAAGCCACGGCUAACUACGUG